GGUGCUUGCACCUUUCAAGUGAGUGGCGAACGGGUGAGUAACACGUGGACAACCUGCCUCAAGGCUGGGGAUAACAUUUGGAAACAGAUGCUAAUACCGAAUAAAACUUAAUGUCGCAUGACACAAAGUUAAAAGGCGCUUCGGCGUCACCUAGAGAUGGAUCCGCGGUGCAUUAGUUAGUUGGUGGGGUAAAGGCCUACCAAGACAAUGAUGCAUAGCCGAGUUGAGAGACUGAUCGGCCACAUUGGGACUGAGACACGGCCCAAACUCCUACGGGAGGCUGCAGUAGGGAAUCUUCCACAAUGGGCGAAAGCCUGAUGGAGCAACGCCGCGUGUGUGAUGAAGGCUUUCGGGUCGUAAAGCACUGUUGUAUGGGAAGAACAGCUAGAAUAGGAAAUGAUUUUAGUUUGAC
Molecule: ribosomal RNA, 412 nt
Filed under: Leuconostoc mesenteroides
Lineage: Bacteria; Bacillati; Bacillota; Bacilli; Lactobacillales; Lactobacillaceae
Description: bacterial SSU rRNA
Rfam family: Bacterial small subunit ribosomal RNA
Source: RNAcentral